GUGUAAAGGCGAUAAGGAAGGGGUGGGGGGGCUAAAGGGGGGGGGGUACCUCCCCGCCCCCAGCCUUGGGGCGGGCACAGGGGAGGCGGACCCGAGCCCCGCCGCACGCCCCGCCCGGCCAUAAAGCGCCGGGACCCGGCGGCGCUCGGCAGCGCCGCUCCCGUUGCCCCCCCCCCCGGGCUUAUCGGCCCCCCCCCAGCCGUGCCCGGUGCCCCCGGGGGGUGGCAGCGCUGCCCCGGCGCCAUGCCGGGCUGGAGGAAGAGCCUCGCCCUGUGCCUGCAGCGGAUGCAAGAGGACGGAGGAUGCAGUAGCUGCUACGUGCGAUUGGUACAAAAUCGGAGCUAUUGAAGAAAUGCCUGCCCCAAUGGUAACCGAGCUCCACGAGGACAGGUUUUCUGAAGCUGUCCAAGUACUGCAUGGCUGGAAGUAAGAAUCAGUAGUUUUUUUCCGUUGCAUGUGGAUGUGUCUGCUAAAAUCCUUGCCCGCAGACACCUGCGUUUACGGAAGAUGGCUGUCACUUGAAUGAAAGACUGUCUCCUUGUCUGCUGUGCCUGAUGUAUGGGCAAUCUCGCUGCCAUCAGUAGCGAAUUUAUUGGCUGCACUGUGAUUAAAUGGAGGGCAAUGGCAAUGUGCAAAGCGAUGCUGGGUCCCUCUAUCUCUAUGCUCCUGUCCCUAUGGACAGAAGGAGUGGUAGUGAAGAUGCUGCCGGGGUGGUCUGUCCUUGGUUCCUUGUGGUUUUUGGCAGCGAGCGUCUGUUGCUGUUCACCAGUUCCCUGCAAGCCGCCGUGCUGCGUCUCCCAGAGGGGUGGGAGCUCGGUGUCCUGCUUGCUUCAGCCUGCCCCAGCCUGGCAGCCUCAGCAAGCAAGGGUUUGAGAUGCACGACCGGGAAUAUGGCUUUUGGGCUUUUUUCCCUUGGUGUUUAAAGCUUCCUGGGCAUUUCUGCAAAUGCUGCUCCAACUUCUCCCCCAGCUUGCCCUGAAGUCCCCAUGACGUGGAAUUACUCCAGCAGCUGCAACGAGCCCCUCCUACUAGCCCUGACAGCCCGUCUGCUUUAUCAGCUGUUUCCAGUGCUUUUCCCUUUCUCUAAUGAAUUUCCACUGCCUUAGUGCUACAGAGUCUCAAAUUCAGUUUUGAGAGCUUGUGGUUAGGGGUGAAGCUGAAGCGGGACAGGGGAAGCAACGCUCCCGAAGGGCAGGGUGAGCAUCCAGAAGCCUGUAGGCACCACUAGCUGAGUUCCCCCUUCCAUACAGCCCCUGGAAUACGAGUGUCUGUGGCACAGAACAAGGGGCUUUUAGUUUUGUCUUCGGGCAGAAGUGUUUCAGACCUAAAAACCUGCGUUAUUUGGGCUGCAGUCUUGCAAAUUCCCUGUGGAGCUGAACACGUUCCUUCUUCCCAGGCCAUCAAGUCAUCCUGGAGCCCGUUGCUUUCCUUUCAGUACUGGAUGGCGGGGUGCAAACCCUGACGUUUGCUCAUGUUAAAGCACUUGUGUGAGCAGCAUGGGUCUGCUGCCAGCUUUAUUCCAAAGAUGCGACGCUGGUGGGGGCCCUGCGUUACCUGUGUGGGCGCAGGCAGCUCUCCAACAGUGAUCCUGAAAUCCUCUUUUCCAGCAGCGGUGACGGUUGUCACCGCAAUUUCUAGCUCAAGAGGCAAAACUGUUUGAUCCUGCUGCACGCACAGGAAUGCCUUUGCUCCUGGAUAUCUCCCUGCAUGGAAGCGCUGCUCACAAACUGCAGCUGCCCCUUGGGCUGUAGCGUUGAGGAGGAGAUGCCCUGUGUUUCCCCAGCCUUUGGGAGGAGGGAAUGGGAAUGUAGCAGCAGGAUUUCUGCAGGGAUGUCGGUGCUUGCUUGGGUGUUGCAGUUGUUUACACGAGAGGGAUAAAAUCCAGCACUGGUGAAGAGGAAGAGGCUGGGGAAAGGAGAGGAGCGGAGGAGCUGGGGCAGCUCCCCUUGCGUAUGACCAGAAGCUGUUCCAGGUAAAAAUGCUAUGGUCAGAGAGCUGGGGCACCUGGAAGAGGAAUGACGAAGUGCUCUUAGAGGAUAUAGGUUGUCAGUGGGAAUUGGGAGCUCUGGAAAAGGGAUUGGGCUCAGAAGUUGAACCUAGGGAAAGGAUGUGAGGCCAGGUAGGUGUAUUUGUUCUGUGGGUACCCAGCUCCCCUUACCUCCACCCUGAAUACUACAGCAAGAAGGCAAGAAGCCUUUUGAAGCAGUCAUUUUACUGUGUCUGUAUGCAUAGGCUGUCUCAGGCAAAACAGAAAUCCCACCAAAAAAAAAAAAAAACCAACACAAGAA
Molecule: long non-coding RNA, 2288 nt
Organism: Cygnus olor (mute swan)
Lineage: Eukaryota; Metazoa; Chordata; Aves; Anseriformes; Anatidae
Exons: 2
Source: RefSeq, a predicted model, not a curated record